AACGAACGCUGGCGGCGCGCCUAAUACAUGCAAGUCGAGCGAGAAGGUGUAGCAAUACACUUGUAAAGCGGCGAACGGGUGAGGAAUACAUGGGUAAUCUACCAUCGAGUGGGGAAUAACCAGCCGAAAGGUUGGCUAAUACCGCGUACGCUUCCGAGUCUUCGGGCUUGGAAGGAAGCCGCACUGUGAGUGCGGCGCUCUUUGAUGAGCUCAUGUCCUAUCAGCUUGUUGGUAGGGUAACGGCCUACCAAGGCUUUGACGGGUAGCUGGUCUGAGAGGACGAUCAGCCACACUGGCACUGCGACACGGGCCAGACUCCUACGGGAGGCAGCAGUAAGGAAUAUUGCGCAAUGGGCGCAAGCCUGAUCCAGCAAUGCCGCGUGCAGGAUGAAGGCCUCGG
This 400-nucleotide ribosomal RNA is filed under the name uncultured bacterium. RNAcentral describes it as "bacterial SSU rRNA". It matches the Rfam family "Bacterial small subunit ribosomal RNA", at positions 29 to 420 of the family's 1533-position model. The record is from RNAcentral.